RNAcentral lists this long non-coding RNA (360 nucleotides) under Homo sapiens (human). RNAcentral's name for it is "HSALNT0185401". The record is from RNAcentral. Lineage: Eukaryota; Metazoa; Chordata; Mammalia; Primates; Hominidae.
UGGAUCUAGACGGGCAUGAGCUCCCGGCCUCUGCUUCAUCCUUGGUGCUGCCCGGAAGCUCUGCUAGAGAUUUACCGAAGUCCUUGAUAUUUUAACCUAGCUAUCAACUUCAGCCCAGAGAAGGUCUUCCAAAAGUAGAUUCCAAAAGUAUAUUCAUCCAUCAACCAUAACCUUAAAUCUGAAGCCAGGAACUAAAAAGAAAUUCUCAAGGUAACACAAUUGUCAUGAAGUCUCACUCCCAGGGCCAAUUAUAAUCUGGAUUUUUGUCUUCAUCCUUCCAGGUGUCUCUGAUCCCACUGUAAGCAAACCCUGAGUCCUAGGGCCUUUCUUCCACUUAUUUCACUCUUUCUGUACACAUUU